UACGUAGGGAGCAAGCGUUGUUCGGAUUUACUGGGCGUAAAGGGUGCGUAGGCGGCCCUGUAAGUCAGGGGUGAAAUCCUGGAGCUCAACUCCAGAACUGCCUUUGAUACUGAAGAUCUUGAGUUCGGGAGAGGUGAGUGGAACUGCGAGUGUAGAGGUGAAAUUCGUAGAUAUUCGCAAGAACACCAGUGGCGAAGGCGGCUCACUGGCCCGAUACUGACGCUGAGGCACGAAAGCGUGGGGAGCAAACAGG
Molecule: ribosomal RNA, 253 nt
Filed under: uncultured bacterium
Lineage: Bacteria
Description: partial 16S ribosomal RNA
Rfam family: Bacterial small subunit ribosomal RNA
Source: RNAcentral